This 392-nucleotide ribosomal RNA is filed under the name uncultured Gammaproteobacteria bacterium. Its description in RNAcentral is "bacterial SSU rRNA". It matches the Rfam family "Bacterial small subunit ribosomal RNA", at positions 370 to 779 of the family's 1533-position model. The record is from RNAcentral. Lineage: Bacteria; Pseudomonadati; Pseudomonadota; Gammaproteobacteria.
AAUGGGCGCAAGCCUGAUCCAGCCAUGCCGCGUGAAUGAAGAAGGCCUUAGGGUUGUAAAGUUCUUUCACUAGGGAAGAUAAUGACGGUACCUAGACAAGAAGCCCCGGCUAAUUUCGUGCCAGCAGCCGCGGUAAUACGAAAGGGGCUAGCGUUGUUCGGAAUUACUGGGCGUAAAGCGCGCGUAGGCGGCACUGUAAGUUGGGGGUGAAAUCCCGGGGCUCAACCCCGGAACUGCCUCCAAAACUACAGAGCUAGAGGAUGUGAGAGGAUAGUGGAAUUCCGAGUGUAGAGGUGAAAUUCGUAGAUAUUCGGAAGAACACCAGUGGCGAAGGCGACUGUCUGGCACAUUUCUGACGCUGAGGUGCGAAAGCGUGGGGAGCAAACAGGAUU